UAGAAAAUAAUAUAAGGGAAGUAUGGAGGGUUUUGAUCUCUCUAGUGCAGGUUCAAGUCCUGUUUUUCUAA
RNAcentral lists this transfer RNA (71 nucleotides) under Troglodytes troglodytes (Eurasian wren). Its description in RNAcentral is "tRNA-Gln". It matches the Rfam family "tRNA". Rfam says of the family: Transfer RNA (tRNA) molecules are approximately 80 nucleotides in length. Their secondary structure includes four short double-helical elements and three loops (D, anti-codon, and T loops). Further hydrogen bonds mediate the characteristic L-shaped molecular structure. tRNAs have two regions of fundamental functional importance: the anti-codon, which is responsible for specific mRNA codon recognition, and the 3' end, to which the tRNAs corresponding amino acid is attached (by aminoacyl-tRNA synthetases). tRNAs cope with the degeneracy of the genetic code in two manners: having more than one tRNA (with a specific anti-codon) for a particular amino acid; and 'wobble' base-pairing, i.e. permitting non-standard base-pairing at the 3rd anti-codon position. Lineage: Eukaryota; Metazoa; Chordata; Aves; Passeriformes; Certhiidae. The record is from RNAcentral. RNAcentral also lists the same sequence under 1 other name.